Molecule: ribosomal RNA, 244 nt
Filed under: uncultured bacterium
Lineage: Bacteria
Description: partial 16S ribosomal RNA
Rfam family: Bacterial small subunit ribosomal RNA
Source: RNAcentral
GAUCAUGGCUCAGGAUGAACGCUAACUACAGGCUUAACACAUGCAAGUCGGAGGGGCAGCGGGAUUGAAGCUUGCUUCAAUUGCCGGCGACCGGCGCACGGGUGAGUAACGUGUAUCCGACCUUCCGUACACUCAGGGAUAGCCUUUCGAAAGAAAGAUUAAUACCUGAUGGUAUCUUAAGCACACAUGUAAUUAAGAUUAAAGAUUUAUCGGUGUACGAUGGGGAUGCGUUCCAUUAGGUAGG